AUACAGUUAGAUGAAGUUAGAUUCUAUUAAGUAGUUAAUUCUGUUUCAAUAAACACUGCACGUGUAUAAGUGGAAGUUAUUUUAGUUAGUUGUAAUCAACUUUGUAACUAAAUUGCUUUAGUUGCUAAGCCUUAUACAAGGCUGACUAAGUGCAAGGAGGAGUAGCUUUCGAAGUGUAAAGAACUGCUAGGAGAUUUGCCAUCUCGAAUUGGUCUUUUCAGUUACAAAUAGUAGUUUACUGUUACAAGCCGCCAUCUGCCGGCAACCAGAAGCGAGCCACCCAUCGGCUCCCACGAGCUCGUUCCUGUCCCAUCGUGGUCGAGGAGAUCGUUCCCGAAGCAACGCACCAGCUCCUCCGUCUUCCACCAUGGUUCUCCCUUUCCUCCCUUCAGCACACUCCCGCUUCUGAGGAGCCGCCACCACCACGGUGCCGCCACGACGACCCAUCAUCUCUUCCCGCCGUACAUCUCCGACGACCCAUCACCACCGCCAACAAGCCAAGACAUCAAAAGAGGGGCUACGGUUGAACAAAGCAGUGAAGAAUUGGUUUCAAUUCCACUUUUUGUCUAUUGAAUUGAUUUCCAUUAUUCUCGCGGCAGGAUCUGUAUGAGAGCUGAUUUCCAAAAUAAUCAGUAGCAGAAUCUUCGUGAGAAGAAUGAGAUGAGGAAAUACUUUUGGUACACUUGCUGCAUUUAUUGGACUAGGAGAUGGUUUAACAUUGUUCAUCUUGGACAGUGCUGAUUUUCUCUGUCAUUGAUUGCAUAAAUAUUAUGUUGGCGUA
Molecule: non-coding RNA, 781 nt
Organism: Corylus avellana
Lineage: Eukaryota; Viridiplantae; Streptophyta; Magnoliopsida; Fagales; Betulaceae
Source: RefSeq, a predicted model, not a curated record